UACGUCGGGCGCGAGCGUUAAUCGGAAUUACUGGGCGUAAAGCGUGCGCAGGCGGUUUUGUAAGCCAGAUGUGAAAUCCCCGGGCUCAACCUGGGAAUGGCAUUUGGGACUGCAAGGCUGGAGUGCGGCAGAGGAGACUGGAAUUCCUGGUGUAGCAGUGAAAUGCGUAGAUAUCAGGAGGAAUACCGAUGGCGAAGGCAGGUCUCUGGGCUGACACUGACGCUCAUGCACGAAAGCGUGGGGAGCAAACAGG
RNAcentral lists this ribosomal RNA (253 nucleotides) under uncultured bacterium. RNAcentral describes it as "partial 16S ribosomal RNA". It matches the Rfam family "Bacterial small subunit ribosomal RNA", at positions 524 to 776 of the family's 1533-position model. The record is from RNAcentral.